ACACAUGCAAGUCGAGGGGAAACGGCAUCAAGCGCUUGCGCCUGAUGGACGUCGACCGGCGCACGGGUGAGUAACGCGUAUCCAACCUGCCCCACACUAAGGGAUAACCCGCAGAAAUGUGGACUAAUACCUUAUAUUUUCCACCAAGGGCAUCGUCGAUGGAACAAAGAUUUAUCGGUAUGGGAUGGGGAUGCGUCCGAUUAGGUUGUUGGCGGGGUAACGGCCCACCAAGCCUUCGAUCGGUAGGGGUUCUGAGAGGAAGGUCCCCCACAUAGGAACUGAGACACGGUCCUAACUCCUACGGGAGGCAGCAGUGAGGAAUAUUGGUCAAUGGGCGUGAGCCUGAACCAGCCAAGUAGCGUGCAGGAAGACGGCCCUAUGGGUUGUAAACUGCUUUUAUGCGGGGAUAAAGGAGUCCACGUGUGGAUUUUUGCAGGUACCGCAUGAAUAACGACCGGCUAAUUCCGUGCCAGCAGCCGCGGUAAUACGGAAGG
This 494-nucleotide ribosomal RNA is filed under the name uncultured bacterium. RNAcentral describes it as "bacterial SSU rRNA". It matches the Rfam family "Bacterial small subunit ribosomal RNA", at positions 51 to 532 of the family's 1533-position model. The record is from RNAcentral.